CAGUGUUUGCAGAUGACACAAAACUUUGUAAAGUAAUAAAAUGUGAGCAGGAUAUUGCUUUGCUGCAGAGAGAUUUGGAUAGAUUGGGGGACUGGGCACUAAAAUGGCAGAUGAAAUUUAACACAGAGAAAUGCAAAGUUAUGCACUUCGGGGGUUAAGAAUGCACAAGCAAUUUACACCCUAAAUGGUAGUGAAUUAGGGAUAACCACACAUGAGAAGGAUUUGGGAAUUGUUAUAGACAACAAAUUGGGCAGCAAUAUGCAAUGUCAAUCUGCAGUUGCUAAGGCCAGA
Molecule: non-coding RNA, 291 nt
Organism: Pelobates cultripes (western spadefoot toad)
Lineage: Eukaryota; Metazoa; Chordata; Amphibia; Anura; Pelobatidae
Source: the annotation of a GenBank genome assembly